RNAcentral lists this unclassified non-coding RNA (253 nucleotides) under plant metagenome. Its description in RNAcentral is "partial contains small subunit ribosomal RNA, internal transcribed spacer 1, and 5.8S ribosomal RNA". The stretch from base 205 to 253 matches the Rfam family "5.8S ribosomal RNA", at positions 1 to 49 of the family's 154-position model. The record is from RNAcentral.
UUUCCGUAGGUGAACCUGCGGAAGGAUCAUUAUUGGAUUUUGAAACUUCAGGCUGCUGCUGGCUCUCCUCGGAGGGCAUGUGCACGCUUGUUGUCCAUUAUUUCUCCCACUGUGCACAAAUUGUAGACCUUUCAGUAGGCCUAUGUUGUUUUUCACAAUCUCUGAAUGUAAUAGAAUGGUUUUGAAUCUUGGGAAAUACAAUACAACUUUCAGCAACGGAUCUCUUGGCUCUCGCACCGAUGAAGAACGCAGC